UGGGGAAUUUUGGACAAUGGGGGCAACCCUGAUCCAGCAAUGCCGCGUGUGUGAAGAAGGCCUUCGGGUUGUAAAGCACUUUUGUCCGGAAAGAAAUCGCCCUGGCUAAUAUCCGGGGUGGAUGACGGUACUGGAAGAAUAAGCACCGGCUAACUACGUGCCAGCAGCCGCGGUAAUACGUAGGGUGCGAGCGUUAAUCGGAAUUACUGGGCGUAAAGCGUGCGCAGGCGGUUGUGCAAGACAGAUGUGAAAUCCCCGGGCUUAACCUGGGAAUGGCAUUUGUGACUGCACGGCUAGAGUGUGUCAGAGGGGGGUAGAAUUCCACGUGUAGCAGUGAAAUGCGUAGAUAUGUGGAGGAACACCGAUGGCGAAGGCAGCCCCCUGGGAUAACACUGACGCUCAUGCACGAAAGCGUGGGGAGCAAACAGGAUUAGAUACUCUGGGUAGUCCACGCCCUAAACGAUGUCAACUAGUUGUC
RNAcentral lists this ribosomal RNA (478 nucleotides) under uncultured bacterium. RNAcentral describes it as "partial 16S ribosomal RNA". It matches the Rfam family "Bacterial small subunit ribosomal RNA", at positions 355 to 824 of the family's 1533-position model. The record is from RNAcentral.